AUGGAAACGGGGCGACCGACAACACUGGCAAGCUGCAAGCUCCGUUUCUUGCUGCUGUUUUCACUGCUUUCGAAAUGGUGUAGUGUUUUCGAACAAGUCCGUAAGCAUCUUAACCGUUAUCAGAGGAGUAAGAUUUGUGGCAGUAAAGUAUGUGAUCCUCGGCAGGAAUCAUCUCCUCUAACAUAUGGGUGUCUCCUGGUCCAAAAGGCUUCUCUGUGGGCCAGAGUCUGCUAA
This is a long non-coding RNA of Cyprinus carpio carpio, 234 nucleotides long. Lineage: Eukaryota; Metazoa; Chordata; Actinopteri; Cypriniformes; Cyprinidae. The record is from Ensembl.